This 144-nucleotide non-coding RNA is filed under the name Heterosigma akashiwo. The record is from RNAcentral. Lineage: Eukaryota; Raphidophyceae; Chattonellales; Chattonellaceae.
GUGCGGUGGCUCUAGGAGGACCUUCCUUAGGAGGAAGUGGCUGGGCCUUUUAGCUUUUGAGUAGAGCAUAGUUUGGGCUUUCCCCUUUUUGUUGUGUGGGAUGCUUGUAACAAGUGGCUUUCCCCCUCUAUUCUUUUCUGCUGC